Canis lupus familiaris (dog) is the source of this 1318-nucleotide long non-coding RNA. RefSeq lists it as uncharacterized. The transcript has 3 exons. The record is from RefSeq and is a predicted model, not a curated record. NCBI's taxonomy places the organism in Eukaryota, Metazoa, Chordata, Mammalia, Carnivora, Canidae.
GCUGUGUGUUCCCUUCUCUGGCAGCUUGGGAAAGACUAGGGGCCCUUUCAGGGAAAGGAGUAAGAGGAAACGGGCCUGAAAAAGCUGCAGUGAAAGCCUAAUUCUGAGCUUCAGCUGCGGACCGAGGCCUGGGAGUACAAAUGCAUUUUCUACCCAGGAGAACGGGGAGUGUUCGGAAAGGUUGUUUGGGGGAACUAGAGCCCCAGAGCUUCGGUGCUGGAGGAUCUCAGACAUCAGCUAGUAUAGCCCCCCCCAGAAGCCCCCCCAUUUUACUGGAAGGCUAAUCUGAAACAGAAUGGAAUUUGGCAGGGGCUGGGAUGCCUUUUCUCUUCUGAGGCCCUGUUUCCUGAAAGAGUGUCCAGAGGAGCUGAUUCCCCCCUUCCCCGUGGCACUCCUCAGGGCCUUUUUAAGAAAACCCAGAGGUCUGAUCUGGCUUCUCUGAAAGUAACAGGGUUUGUGGCUUCCAGGGGGUUUUCGGUUUGGAGCCAUAAUUUCUGUUUGUUCAUCUGACAUGUUCGUGCACUGCAGGCUUGUUGCCAGGUUUCCCCUCGCACGUUAUCAGGCCGUGCUUGUGCGUGGAACAAGCACAACUCAGGAAGGGACCGUACUAGGGCAGGGGCUGCUGGGGUCUGGGGGCGUCGGGAGGUCGAGGUCCUCAGGCCUGUGGUUGGGGAUGAACCGGGAGCCUCCUGGCCCAGAGUCCCCAGUGGGCAUCUGCACGGGCGGAGGGCUCAGGCCCCUGCAGGAGCCGAGAGGCUGCCUCAGGAAGAAGCCACCUGGGCUGGCCAGGGAGGCUCCGAGAAUGCGCAGGCCCCGGGCUCUGGAAGCUUCGGGAAGGGCUUAUCGAGAGGGCGGCAGCCGGCCCCGAGCAGAAAAAGGGCGAAGGGAGACAGAGAAAGCAAGUGGCACUGAGUGAGUCACCAGAGAGUCAGCGCCUCCUGACAGCAGCGGCUCUUGGCGACUCGGGAGGCACACGCAGCUGGACGUGGGGGCACCCUGAGCUGGGAAGGACCUUCUUGCUGCUGCUGUGACCGAGGCACUGAGGCACUGUUCUGGAAGCUGCCUCGGCAUAAAGACCCUCCAUCUGGGGAGGAAGGGAGACGGGAGGAGGGCCAGGGUGCUCUCUCGGGCCUGGCUCUGGGAUGCCCAGCCCAGGUGGCCGUGGGAUGCCCAGCCCAGGUGGCCGUGGCCUGGGUGGCAGUGAGAGGAGGCAGCCUCAGCUGCGCUGUGGUUUUCCUCCGUGUGACAGCACGACCACGACACUCAUGCCCCAGCUCAGCCGAUGACCGACGAGGAAAAUAAAAUGGAAUUUAUUAUU